AUGAUGAUGAAGAAAAAAGAUGAUGACUCUCGAAAGGAGAAACCCUUAAAGGCCAAAAAAGCUACCCAGGUCAUUGAGGACAAUGAAGAUAAUGAUGGUUACAGUGAUGAUGAUGAUGAUGCCAACAACUUUGAUUACCACAAAAAAGAUUAUGAUGAUUACAGUAGUGAUUUUAGAGAUUCUGAUUUUGAUGACAACACGGAAGAUGACGAUUAUUUUAAGUAUAAGAUUGACCAUGUGGAUUAUGAUGAUGAUGAGGAGGAGGAAGAUGAUUAUGAUGAAGAUCAACUCCAUGCUGAUUAUAAUGAUGACAAGGAAGAUAAAAGUUAUUAUGAUGAUCAUUCUGAUUCUAAUGUUGCGAAGGAGGACGAGGCCAAUAACAAAGAAAAAACAGAGCCUGGUGAAAGUGAUGAUGAUGGCAAGAGUGGCACUGAAGAUGAUGUUAGUACUGACAGAGGCAGUUAUAACCAUGUGGAUGAUGAAUGCAGUAAUGAAGAAAACAGAGAGGUUAUUGAAACUCUUAAAUAUGAUAGAAGUCAGAGUGACGAUGGUGAUGAAGAUGACACUGAUGAAGAAAAUGCUAGUUAUGAUUAUCUUAAGAACGAUGGUUGUACAACACAUGAGGAAGAAACUGAAGAGGGAUAUAAAAAUGAAACACAUGAAACAGGGAACCAUGAUGAUGCUGAUGAUGAAAGGGUCAAAGAGGAAGAUGGUUUCAUUGCUGAAGAAUACCAAGGUGAUGGUGAUAUUAAAGAUGGUCAUGUGAACGGCAAAGAAUAUGAAGUAUAUGAGUAUGACCAAGUAGCUGAAAAAAACUAUGAGCAUAAUGAUGAUGAGCUUAAUAAUUGUGACUCUGAUGAUGAAAGAAAACAUUCUGACGCCUCCAUCAUGGAAAAAUAUGAAAAAGAUCAGGUUUGUGCUCGCUGUAUUCAUAAUGAUGACCAAGCAAACAAUCACGAGGCCGAAGAUGAAGAUGGGGAGGACAAAAAAGUAAUGUGCAGCCAGGCUGCUAGGAUCAAUAAUUUAAAUCAUGAUGAAAAUAGUGUUUGUGUUGACGGUGAUUAUAAUUCUAUGAAGAAUUAUUACACUGGGGAGUUCAUGGAUCGCGUCAAAAAUACGGCAGGGAGCUGCAAAGAUGAACAAGGGGGGGAUGCUGAAGAUGUCACCAGAACUAAAGUGAUGUUGGAGCGACUUGGCGCUAAAUGUAAAACCAAAGACGGAGGUCGUGCCCAGGAUGGAAACCUUCGACAAGACAGCCAACACGGGCAGCAUGAGAAAGGUACUGAGAAGUCUACUGUACGGUGUUCACUUUAUACAGUGGUAUACCCUGGGGCAGUUUGGGUUUUUUGUGGUUGGGGUGAGACUUGUAAACAAGUCCCCUUCCCCUUGUGCUUUUGA
Molecule: long non-coding RNA, 1398 nt
Filed under: Scleropages formosus (Asian bonytongue)
Lineage: Eukaryota; Metazoa; Chordata; Actinopteri; Osteoglossiformes; Osteoglossidae
Description: lncRNA (ENSSFOG00015026946.1)
Source: RNAcentral